RNAcentral lists this ribosomal RNA (822 nucleotides) under uncultured bacterium. Its description in RNAcentral is "bacterial SSU rRNA". It matches the Rfam family "Bacterial small subunit ribosomal RNA", at positions 1 to 805 of the family's 1533-position model. The record is from RNAcentral.
UUAGAGUUUGAUCCUGGCUCAGGAUUAACGCUGGCGGCAUGCCUAAUACAUGCAAGUCGAACGGAAAAUAUAGAAGUGCUUGCACAUUUAUAUUUUUAGUGGCCAACGGGUGAGUAAUAUAUAGACAACCUACCUUCCAGUUGGGGAUAACAGAGGGAAACUUCUGCUAAUACCGAAUAUGAUAAAGAAACACAAGUAAUUUUAUUGAAAGGGGCUCCAAAGCCCCGCUAGAAGAGGGGUCUAUAUCGCAUUAGCUAGUUGGUAAGAUAACAGCCUACCAAGGCGAUGAUGCGUAGCUGUACUGAGAGGUAGAACAGCCACAUUGGGACUGAGAUACGGCCCAAACUCCUACGGGAGGCAGCAGUAGGGAAUUUUCGGCAAUGGGGGGAACCCUGACCGAGCAAUGCCGCGUGAUUGAAGACGGUCUUCGGACUGUAAAGAUCUGUUAUUAGGGAAGAAUUUUUACUUUAGGAAAUGGAAGUAAAUUGACGGUGCCUAAUGAGGAAGCCCCGGCUAACUAUGUGCCAGCAGCCGCGGUAAUACAUAGGGGGCAAGCGUUAUCCGGAAUUAUUGGGCGUAAAGGGUACGUAGGCGGGCUUGCAAGUCUGAUUUGAAAGCACAUGGCUUAACCAUGUGAGGUAAUUAGAAACUACGAGUCUAGAGAGUGGUAGAGGUAAAUGGAAUUCCAAGUGGAGCGGUGAAAUGCGUAGAGAUUUGGAGGAACACCAGUGGCGAAGGCGGUUUACUGGGCCACAUCUGACGCUGAUGUACGAAAGCGUGGGGAGCAAACAGGAUUAGAUACCCUGGUAGUCCACGCCGUAA